AAGUCGUAACAAGGUCUCCGUAGGUGAACCUGCGGAGGGAUCAUUACUGAGUGAGGGAGAAAUCCCGACCUCCAACCCUUUGUGAACGCAUCAUGUUGCUUUGGGGGCGACCCUGCCGUUUCGCGGCAUUCCCCCCGAAGGUCAUCAAAACACUGCAUUCUUACGUCGGAGUAUAAAGUUAAUUUAAUAAAACUUUCAACAACGGAUCUCUUGGUUCUG
RNAcentral lists this unclassified non-coding RNA (219 nucleotides) under air metagenome. RNAcentral's name for it is "partial contains small subunit ribosomal RNA, internal transcribed spacer 1, and 5.8S ribosomal RNA". The stretch from base 1 to 46 matches the Rfam family "Eukaryotic small subunit ribosomal RNA", at positions 1786 to 1831 of the family's 1831-position model. The record is from RNAcentral.